ACUCAGAAUUGUUCCUCUCCACG
This 23-nucleotide non-coding RNA is filed under the name Cricetulus griseus (Chinese hamster). Lineage: Eukaryota; Metazoa; Chordata; Mammalia; Rodentia; Cricetidae. The record is from RNAcentral.